GACGAACGCUGGCGGCGCGCCUAACACAUGCAAGUCGAACGAGAGAUGAGGAGCUUGCUCUUCAAAUCGAGUGGCGAACGGGUGAGUAACGCGUGAGGAACCUGCCUCAAAGAGGGGGACAACAGUUGGAAACGACUGCUAAUACCGCAUAAGCCCACGGCUCGGCAUCGAGCAGAGGGAAAAGGAGCAAUCCGCUUUGAGAUGGCCUCGCGUCCGAUUAGCUAGUUGGUGAGGUAACGGCCCACCAAGGCAACGAUCGGUAGCCGGACUGAGAGGUUGAACGGCCACAUUGGGACUGAGACACGGCCCAGACUCCUACGGGAGGCAGCAGUGGGGAAUAUUGCACAAUGGGGGAAACCCUGAUGCAGCGACGCCGCGUGGAGGAAGAAGGUCUUCGGAUUGUAAACUCCUGUUGUUGAGGAAGAUAAUGACGGUACUCAACAAGGAAGUGACGGCUAACUACGUGCCAGCAGCCGCGGUAAAACGUAGGUCACAAGCGUUGUCCGGAAUUACUGGGUGUAAAGGGAGCGCAGGCGGGAGAACAAGUUGGAAGUGAAAUCCAUGGGCUCAACCCAUGAACUGCUUUCAAAACUGUUUUUCUUGAGUAGUGCAGAGGUAGGCGGAAUUCCCGGUGUAGCGGUGGAAUGCGUAGAUAUCGGGAGGAACACCAGUGGCGAAGGCGGCCUACUGGGCACCAACUGACGCUGAGGCUCGAAAGUGUGGGUAGCAAACAGGAUUAGAUACCCUGGUAGUCCACACCGUAAACGAUGAUUACUAGGUGUUGGAGGAUUGACCCCUUCAGUGCCGCAGUUAACACAAUAAGUAAUCCACCUGGGGAGUACGACCGCAAGGUUGAAACUCAAAGGAGUUGACGGGGGCCCGCACAAGCAGUGGAGUAUGUGGUUUAAUUCGACGCAACGCGAAGAACCUUACCAAGUCUUGACAUCCCUUGACGAUGCUGGAAACAGUAUUUCUCUUCGGAGCAAGGAGACAGGUGGUGCAUGGUUGUCGUCAGCUCGUGUCGUGAGAUGUUGGGUUAAGUCCCGCAACGAGCGCAACCCUUAUGGUCAGUUACUACGCAAGAGGACUCUGGCCAGACUGCCGUUGACAAAACGGAGGAAGGUGGGGAUGACGUCAAAUCAUCAUGCCCUUUAUGACUUGGGCUACACACGUACUACAAUGGCGUUAAACAAAGAGAAGCAAGACCGCGAGGUGGAGCAAAACUCAGAAACAACGUCCCAGUUCGGACUGCAGGCUGCAACUCGCCUGCACGAAGUCGGAAUUGCUAGUAAUCGUGGAUCAGCAUGCCACGGUGAAUACGUUCCCGGGCCUU
Molecule: ribosomal RNA, 1333 nt
Filed under: uncultured bacterium
Lineage: Bacteria
Description: bacterial SSU rRNA
Rfam family: Bacterial small subunit ribosomal RNA
Source: RNAcentral